RNAcentral lists this ribosomal RNA (587 nucleotides) under Bjerkandera sp. RNAcentral's name for it is "LSU rRNA". It matches the Rfam family "Eukaryotic large subunit ribosomal RNA", at positions 84 to 654 of the family's 3401-position model. Lineage: Eukaryota; Fungi; Basidiomycota; Agaricomycetes; Polyporales; Phanerochaetaceae. The record is from RNAcentral.
UAACUGCGAGUGAAGCGGGAAAGCUCAAAUUUAAAAUCUGGCGGUCUUCGGCCGUCCGAAGUUGUAAUCUGGAGAAGCGUUUUCCGCGCCGGACCGUGUACAAGUCUCUUGGAACAGAGCGUCAUAGAGGGUGAGAAUCCCGUCUUUGACACGGACUACCGGUGCUAUGUGAUGCGCUCUCGAUGAGUCGAGUUGUUUGGGAAUGCAGCUCAAAAUGGGUGGUAAAUUCCAUCUAAAGCUAAAUAUUGGCGAGAGACCGAUAGCGAACAAGUACCGUGAGGGAAAGAUGAAAAGCACUUUGGAAAGAGAGUUAAACAGUACGUGAAAUUGCUGAAAGGGAAACGAUUGAAGUCAGUCGCGUGUGCUAGAACUCAGCCUUGCUUUUGCUUGGUGCAUUUUCUAGUGUACGGGCCAGCAUCAGUUUCGGCUGCCGGAAAAAGGCCUUGGGAAUGUGGCACCUUCGGGUGUGUUAUAGCCCUCGGUUGUAUACGGUGGCUGGGACUGAGGAACUCAGCACGCCUUUAUGGCGGGGCUUCGGCCACCUUCGUGCUUUGGAUGCUGGCGUAAUGGCUUUAAACGACCCGUCU